UUAUUUUAAUAAAAGGGUGUUCAGAGCUCUUUUUUUAUUUAAUUGAUGCUCAUCUUAUUUGUGACAACCCGAACUCUCAAUGUUUGUAACGGUUAAUCAGAUGAUCUUUACUAUUCGUUUCUUUGGUAAAUCUGUUAAGCGUGUGUGUUAUUUUGCUAAAUUAACAUAUUAACACCUUUGGGCCGCAAGUUUUUGGGUCACGCACUAACCCUUGGGCCGUCAAAUGCAAUCCGGACCGAAGCCCAAUAGCACCGUAAUCCAAGUGGGCUCGGCCCACUUAUUCAGACUAGAAUUACAUGGAUGGACCUUCCUAUGUAUUUUCUAUGUUAUGAACUAUACUUGAAGCUAAUACUUCUCGGCCCACUUGUUUCAAUUGGAUCUUGGCCCAACUAGUAUACCUAAUAUGAGAACUAGGUGGCUUGUGUUAAUUAGUUCUAUAUAUACUAUACGCAUCAUGUUUGUAUAUCACAAGUUACAACAUAACAAAACCCUAAUCCCCCCCCCCUGACUCGCGAACAGUAGAAGACCCCCACCCCCCUUUGAAGAUUAUUGUGCUUGUACAUCUCGUUUCGCUCUUCGGACGUGUUUAUUCAACUAAUAAUCAAAGUACUUAAUCUUACCGAGCAAAUCAAAGAAACAUGAGCGGACGAGGCCAUGGACGUGGCCACAUUGCUAUGACGCAGGCCGAAUUAACCAUCUUGAUCAACACUCGUGUAGCUGAAGCCCUAGCGGCUUACCAGGCUGGUCAACCUGCGAAUCAAAACAAUCCACCUGCUCCACCUGCUUGUACGUACAAGAUGUUCAUGGAUUGUAAGCCACAGACCUUUAGCGGGACUGAAGGGGCUGUAGGACUCCUGUGAUGGUUCGAGAAGGCAGAAUCAGUAUUUGCAAUGUGUAACUGUCCAGCUGGGGACAGAGUGAAGUAUGCUACGGGCACACUCGAGGAUGGUGCCCUUACAUGGUGGAAUGCCCAGGUUCAGAUGUUGGGUAUUGAGAUGGCGAAUGCCACUACUUGGGAUGAUUUCAAGGAG
Helianthus annuus (common sunflower) is the source of this 1031-nucleotide long non-coding RNA. RefSeq lists it as uncharacterized. Lineage: Eukaryota; Viridiplantae; Streptophyta; Magnoliopsida; Asterales; Asteraceae. The record is from RefSeq and is a predicted model, not a curated record. The transcript has 4 exons.